AGUCACUGACAUUAGACUACCCGGGUAGUCCCAGCCGUAAACUAUGCGCGUUAGGUGUACUGGUGACCACGAGUCACCGGGGUGCCGAAGGGAAACCGUGAAACGUGCCGCCUGGGAAGUACGGUCGCAAGGCUGAAACUUAAAGGAAAUUGGCGGGGGAGCACCACAACGGGUGGAGCCUGCGGUUUAAUUGGACUCAACGCCGGAAAUCUCACCGGAUAGGACAGACAUAUGAUAGUCGGGCUGAAGACCUCUACUUGAUGAUCUG
Molecule: ribosomal RNA, 268 nt
Filed under: uncultured archaeon
Lineage: Archaea
Description: partial 16S ribosomal RNA
Rfam family: Archaeal small subunit ribosomal RNA
Source: RNAcentral